AGGGAGAUGAUGAUGGAAAGCCUGCCCUGAGGAAAUGCUUGCCAUUUGCCAUUCAGUCUGUAAAGCCACGCAUGCAUCUUCCUGAGAAUGGUUGCACGUGUGUGGCGUUGCAGGCUGUUAGCUGCUUGGGCAGGGAUCUCUCCAUGCGGGGUGGCAAGUCCCCAGGAAAGCCAUUUUCUGGUGGAAGAAAGGCCGGGGGGACUUCUCAGAGGUAAGGAGCCUUCAAAUGUACGGGGACCCCUAACUCAUGCGCCAAGCAUGCGAGACAAAUGUCCGUGGCACGAAGAUCGAGGACGACUUCUCAGAGCUCGCACAUCAGCGCUGCUCCGCGAAGCCCUGACUGCCGCUCUGCUUCCGCGCAUGCGCGGAGCCGGCCGGCUCGUCUAAGGAGGGGGAGCCGGGCGGCACCGCAGGACCCCUGCCCGCGGCAAAAUGGCGGCGCCCUUCUCCGGAACGGGAGCCGCGCCGCGCCCGGCACGGCACGGGACGCCGAGGCGCGGUACCUCUCCGGGAAGGGACUGGACGGGACGGGACGACGCGGCGACGGGCAGGCGGUUGGGGCGCCACGCGGUGGGCGGGUUCUGCGGAAAAGGCCCUUCUGCGGGGCGGGGGCGGCGCCGGAGCGGACCAGAGCGGACCGAGCGUGCUGCGAGGGCAGAAGCAGCUCCCCACCGCUAGGACCCCUGUGGGUUUUGUUGCCGAGCAAAGGUGGCACACCGGGUAAACCGAGAAAAGCUGCAGCUGGUGUGCUGCAGUUGCAGGUUUCCCAGGAGAAAGAGCAGCUCGUCUGUCCCGACUGUUCAGCUCGUGCAGAAGGCUGACAGCCUGUCUCACUCUCAUCAGUGCUAUCCCACCAGCUCCUUUAGGAGCUCAGCACCAUGUUUGGCCUGUUGUGAUCUUCCCAAUCUCCUCAUUUCUGUGCUGCAACACCACCAUCCGCGAGAAGUCAGGUAGGAUCUGAAGACCUUUGACAUUGCUAAAGAAUCAAACCUCAGCUGUCAUUUUUAGCCCUUUGUAUUCCAGAUGUUUGUUUUGCUGGACGAUAGUUUCAUUUUUGAUUUUGUAAUAUGUUCUUUGUAGAGGUUAUUUUAAGCAGACAAGUAGGUAGCCUCCUUCCUUCAGUGGAAUCGUGCGGGUUUUAGCAGAGCUCUGCACAUCUGAGCAGUUGCCCAGUGGUUCUGGUCUUGACACGUCUCUAAAACCUUUGUCUGCCUCGCCCCUCCUCUUUGUGUAUUAAGAUGCAUGUCUCUGCAAAAAUUAUGUACGCUGUGCAUAAGAUGCCCAGUGGUUAUGGGGCAUUUUCAGCGUUUCACAGAUAAGACUCCAUGUUUACUUAAUCACUUAAGUGUAGUCCUGGCUUUAAGCGUAGGUGUAGCUAAUGAUGAUUACUGAAGUGGUUAUAAAGUUCAAAAUGUUUGUGUAUAUCUGUAUAAAUAUAUAUAUAUAUACAUACAUAUGUAUAUGUAUGUGUGUGUGUAUAUAUAUAUAUAAUGAAACUGAGUCUGUGGAGUAAAAGACUUCUCUGAUUGUUGCAUAUAUUCAUCUAUCAGCAGACUCGUGCAGGCUGAUCCAAACUGAGUGCUGUGACUUUUUUGUUGCCUGGAAUAUGCAAUCUGUGCACCCCAGGUGUACCUGGUCUAUUAACUAUCUCUUAUAUUGUGCCACCCCGUUAAUAUCAGUGGAUGUACCCAGCACCACCUUGGGGCUACACAUAAUGUGGAAAUUCCUAGUAUGUUAAUGUUACUCUGUUUACAAAGCUGACAUACUAGCCGCUUGCUGUUUCUAUUUUUUUUUGUUUUUCUUUUCAGUAGUCUCCCCAAA
RNAcentral lists this long non-coding RNA (1821 nucleotides) under Anser cygnoides (Swan goose). RNAcentral's name for it is "lncRNA (ENSACDG00005006689.1)". The record is from RNAcentral. Lineage: Eukaryota; Metazoa; Chordata; Aves; Anseriformes; Anatidae.